GGUGUGUCGUGAGGCAUGCUGGAGGUAUCAGAAGUGCGAAUGCUGACAUAAGUAACGAUAAAGCGGGUGAAAAGCCCGCUCGCCGGAAGACCAAGGGUUCCUGUCCAACGUUAAUCGGGGCAGGGUGAGUCGACCCCUAAGGCGAGGCCGAAAGGCGUAGUCGAUGGGAAACGGGUUAAUAUUCCCGUACUUGGUGUUACUGCGAAGGGGGGACGGAGAAGGCUAUGUUGGCCGGGCGACGGUUGUCCCGGUUUAAGCGUGUAGGUGUGUGUUCCAGGUAAAUCCGGUUCACUUUAACACUGAGGCGUGACGACGAGGCACUACGGUGCUGAAGCAACAAAUGCCCUGCUUCCAGGAAAAGCCUCUAAGCAUCAGGUAACAUCAAAUCGUACCCCAAACCGACACAGGUGGUCAGGUAGAGAAUACCAAGGCGCUUGAGAGAACUCGGGUGAAGGAACUAGGCAAAAUGGUGCCGUAACUUCGGGAGAAGGCACGCUGACACGUAGGUGAAGUGAUUUACUCAUGGAGCUGAAGUCAGUCGAAGAUACCAGCUGGCUGCAACUGUUUAUUAAAAACACAGCACUGUGCAAACACGAAAGUGGACGUAUACGGUGUGACGCCUGCCCGGUGCCGGAAGGUUAAUUGAUGGGGUCAGCGCAAGCGAAGCUCCUGAUCGAAGCCCCGGUAAACGGCGGCCGUAACUAUAACGGUCCUAAGGUAGCGAAAUUCCUUGUCGGGUAAGUUCCGACCUGCACGAAUGGCGUAAUGAUGGCCAGGCUGUCUCCACCCGAGACUCAGUGAAAUUGAACUCGCUGUGAAGAUGCAGUGUACCCGCGGCAAGACGGAAAGACCCCGUGAACCUUUACUAUAGCUUGACACUGAACAUUGAGCCUUGAUGUGUAGGAUAGGUGGGAGGCUUUGAAGUGUGGACGCCAGUCUGCAUGGAGCCGACCUUGAAAUACCACCCUUUAAUGUUUGAUGUUCUAACGUGGACCCGUAAUCCGGGUUGCGGACAGUGUCUGGUGGGUAGUUUGACUGGGGCGGUCUCCUCCUAAAGAGUAACGGAGGAGCACGAAGGUUGGCUAAUCCUGGUCGGACAUCAGGAGGUUAGUGCAAUGGCAUAAGCCAGCUUGACUGCGAGCGUGACGGCGCGAGCAGGUGCGAAAGCAGGUCAUAGUGAUCCGGUGGUUCUGAAUGGAAGGGCCAUCGCUCAACGGAUAAAAGGUACUCCGGGGAUAACAGGCUGAUACCGCCCAAGAGUUCAUAUCGACGGCGGUGUUUGGCACCUCGAUGUCGGCUCAUCACAUCCUGGGGCUGAAGUAGGUCCCAAGGGUAUGGCUGUUCGCCAUUUAAAGUGGUACGCGAGCUGGGUUUAGAACGUCGUGAGACAGUUCGGUCCCUAUCUGCCGUGGGCGCUGGAGAACUGAGGGGGGCUGCUCCUAGUACGAGAGGACCGGAGUGGACGCAUCACUGGUGUUCGGGUUGUCAUGCCAAUGGCACUGCCCGGUAGCUAAAUGCGGAAGAGAUAAGUGCUGAAAGCAUCUAAGCACGAAACUUGCCCCGAGAUGAGUUCUCCCUGAGACUUAGAGUCUCCUGAAGGAACGUUGAAGACGACGACGUUGAUAGGCCGGGUGUGUAAGCGCAGCGAUGCGUUGAGCUAACCGGUACUAAUGAACCGUGAGGCUUAACCUUACAACGCCGAAG
This 1704-nucleotide ribosomal RNA is filed under the name Salmonella enterica subsp. enterica serovar Typhimurium. RNAcentral's name for it is "bacterial LSU rRNA". It matches the Rfam family "Bacterial large subunit ribosomal RNA", at positions 1255 to 2925 of the family's 2925-position model. Lineage: Bacteria; Pseudomonadati; Pseudomonadota; Gammaproteobacteria; Enterobacterales; Enterobacteriaceae. The record is from RNAcentral.